This 375-nucleotide ribosomal RNA is filed under the name uncultured bacterium. RNAcentral describes it as "bacterial SSU rRNA". It matches the Rfam family "Bacterial small subunit ribosomal RNA", at positions 524 to 898 of the family's 1533-position model. The record is from RNAcentral.
UACGUAGGGUGCGAGCGUUAAUCGGAAUUACUGGGCGUAAAGCGUGCGCAGGCGGGCUUUUAAGCCAGACGUGAAAUCCCCGGGCUUAACCUGGGAAUGGCGUUUGGGACUGGAAGUCUGGAGUACGGCAGAGGAGACUGGAAUUCCUGGUGUAGCAGUGAAAUGCGUAGAUAUCAGGAGGAACACCGAUGGCGAAGGCAGGUCUCUGGGCUGAUACUGACGCUCAUGCACGAAAGCGUGGGGAGCAAACAGGAUUAGAUACCCUGGUAGUCCACGCCCUAAACGAUGUCGACUGGUUGUUGGGGGUUUGACACUCUCAGUAACGAAGCUAACGCGUGAAGUCGACCGCCUGGGGAGUACGGCCGCAAGGUUAAA